This 1485-nucleotide ribosomal RNA is filed under the name uncultured Bordetella sp. RNAcentral's name for it is "partial 16S-23S ribosomal RNA intergenic spacer". It matches the Rfam family "Bacterial small subunit ribosomal RNA". Lineage: Bacteria; Pseudomonadati; Pseudomonadota; Betaproteobacteria; Burkholderiales; Alcaligenaceae. The record is from RNAcentral.
AGUUCGAUCAUGGCUCAGAUUGAACGCUGGCGGGAUGCUUACACAUGUAAGUCGAACGGCAACACGGACUUCGGUCUGGUGGCGAGUGGCGAACGGGUGAGUAAUGUAUCGGAACGUGCCUAGUAGCGGGGAUAACUACGCGAAAGCGUAGCUAAUACUGCAUAUUGCUCUUUCGGGAAAGCGGGGGACCUUUCGCCUUGCAUCAUUAGAGCGGCCGAUAUCGGAUUAGCUAGUUGGUGGGGUAACGGCUCACCAAGGCGACGAUCCGUAGUUGGUUUGAGAGGACGACCAGCCACACUGGGACUGAGACACGGCCCAGACUCCUACGGAGGCAGCAGUGGGGAAUUUUGGACAAUGGGGGAAACCCCUGAUCCAGCCAUCCCGCGUGUGCGAUGAAGGCCUUCGGGUUGUAAAGCACUUUUGGCAGGAAGAAACGGCACGGGAUAAUACCCCGUGCAACUGACGGUACCUGCAGAAUAAGCACCGGCUAACUACGUGCCAGCAGCUGCGUAAUACGUAGGGUGCAAGCGUUAAUCGGAAUUACUGGGCGGGGGCGUGCGCAGGCGGUUCGGAAAAAGAAAGAUGUGAAAUCCCAGAGCUUAACUUUGGAACUGUAUUUAACUACCGAGCUAGAGUGUGUCAGAGGGAGGUGAAUUCCGCGUGUAGCAGUGAAAUGCGUAGAUAUGCGGAGGAACACCGAUGGCGAAGGCAGCCUCCUGGGAUAAGACGAUUGCCUUGCGCACGAAAGCGUGGGGAGCAAAAAGGAUUAGAUACCCUGGUAGUCCACGCCCUAAACGAUGUCAACCAGCCGUUGGGGCCUUCGGCCUUGGUAGCGCAGCUAACGCGUGGUUGACCGCCCGGGGGAGUACGGUCGCAAAGAUUAAAACUCAAAGGAAUUGACGGGGACCCGCACAAGCGGUGGAUGAUGUGGAUUAAUUCGAUGCAACGCGAAAACCUUACCUACCCUUGACAUGUCUGAACUUCUGAAGAGAUUUGGGGAGGCCUGCAAGAGAACCGGAACAGGUGCUGCAUGGCUGUCGUCAGCUCGUGUCGUGAGAUGUUGGUUAAGUCCCGGCAACGAGCGCAACCCUUGUCAUUAGUUGCGCCAUGAAAGGGCACUCUAAUGAGACUGCCGGUGACAAACCGAGGAAGGUGGGGAUGACGUCAAGUCCUCAUGGCUCCUAUGGGUAGGGCUUCACACGUCAUACAAUGGUCGGGACAGAGGGUCGCCAACCCGCGAGGAGCUAAUCCUAGAAACCCGAUCGUAGUCCGGAUCGCAGUCUGCAACCCGAUCGCGUGGGAAGUCGGGAAUCGCCAGUAAACGUGGAUCAGCAUGUCGCGUGAAUACGUUCCUGGGUCUUGGCCACACCGCCCGUCACACCAUGGGAGUGGUUUACCGAAGAAGUAGUUAGCCUAACCAAAAGGGGAGUGUGGCGAUUACCACGGUAGAUUCUGGCACACUGGGGUGAAGUCGGAAUAAGGUAA